CUCAUUUAAGGUUGGCAGUGGAUGUAGGUGUUUUGUUGGCGAGUCCUUGGUACUUGAAGUCUUCUGAGGGAAUUCCAGCCGGCUCCUGUCAGCGAAACCGGGAUGCCUCCCAGCCCCGGCCCUGCCGCGCAAGGUACAUGCCAGAAGCACACGUAACGCAGCAGCGAGACACGAAGUCCAGUUUAAACGCGAAGACGUAACCGUCUGCAGACAGCGUUACGUGGAUUCCUCGGAGCUUCUCGCUCAGGCU
This is a non-coding RNA of Meleagris gallopavo (turkey), 250 nucleotides long. The record is from RefSeq and is a predicted model, not a curated record. NCBI's taxonomy places the organism in Eukaryota, Metazoa, Chordata, Aves, Galliformes, Phasianidae.